CUCACCUAUGGGUGGGACUCAGCUUGAGGACUGACUUUGACUACUCCUGGAUACUGCAGGUGGACCUCACAGUUACUGUGGGCAGUAUCUCCAUGUAGGAAAAUCCAUCCCCAGCACUGUUCCUCUCACAGGAAAGAAUAUUAUAGGACUGUGACCCUUCAGGUCUUGGACCCUCUUUAUGGAAUGGUUCCUGGGAUUGUCAUCAAGCCAAAAACCAAACCCACUGCCAUCAAGUCAAUUCUGACUCGCAGCAACCCUAUAUGACAGAGUAGAACUGCCCCAUAGGGUUUCCAAGGCUGUAAGUCUUCAUGGAAUCAAACUGCCACAUCUUUCUCCCACAGAGUGACUAGUGGGUUCAAACUGCUGACCUUUUGGUUAGCAGCCAAGCACUUUAACCACUGCAUCACCAGGGCUUUGCGGUUGUCAUUACCAGACUGAAUUGUCUAACACAGGUGAGGCUGGGAAAGAUUGUCUUAUCAUUCUUGAAAUAGAGGUCUGAUGGGGUAGCAAAAUGAAAAUAGUCAAAAGCAGUUGGGUUACAACUCUUCAGACAAAGAUUAGACUGGAAUGUAAGACAUAAAAUGAUACUGGUGAGGAGUGAGCUUCUUAGCUCAAGUAGACACAUGAGACUAUGUGGACAGCUUCUGUCAAGAGGUGAGGUGAGAAGGCAGAGGGGGACAGGAGCUGGUUGAAUGGACAUGGGAAAUACAGGGUAGAGAGGAGGAGUGUGCUGUCACAUUGUAGGGAGAGCAACCAGGGUCACAUAACAAUGUGUGCAUAAGUUUUUUUUUAUGAGAAACUGACUUGAAUUAUAAACUUUCACUUAAAGCACAAUAAUAAAAAAGAGAAAAAAGGGGGAAGAAAAAGCAGUUGGCUUAGGAGAAGUAUGAGAACUAAAAACAGUGUUCAUUCUAGAUUGAAAAUAAAAAUGCUAUAAAGAACAUCAUUGGUAAAAUUUGAAUAUGGACUGUAUAUUAGAUAAUAAUAUACUACCAAGAAAGCAACACCAGGAGCAGAGCGUGCCCUUUAGACCCAAGUUUCCUGCACUGAGAAGCUCCUAGACUAGGUGAAGAUUGAGGAAAAGGACAUUCCUCCAGAGCCAACAGAGAGAGAAAGCCUUCCCCUGGAGCUGGCACACUAAAUUCAGGCUUCUAGCCUCCUAGAUUGUGAGAGACAAAAUUUCUUUAUGUUAAAGCUAUCCACUUGUCCCCCAGGUGUCUGUGAGUUUGUCAUACUCUGGGGCCUUGUGUGUUGCUGUGAUAAUGGAAGCUAUGUUACCGGUAUUCAAACACCAGCAGGGGAUCAUCCAUGGUGGACAGGUUUCACCUAAGCUUCCAGACUAAGACAGACUAGAAAGAAGGACCUGGUGGUUUACUUCUGAAAAGAACUAGCCAGUGAAAACCUUGUGAAUAGGAGUGGAACAUUGUCUGAUAUAGUGCUGGAAGAUGAGCCCUUCAGUUUGGAAGGCACUCAAAAAUCAACUGGGAAAGAGCUGCCUCUUCAAAGUAGAGUCGACCUUAAUGACGUGGAUGGAGUUCAAGCUUUCAUGACUUUCAUUUGCUGAUGUGGCACAACUCAAAAUGAGAAGAAACAGCUGCAAACAACCAUUAAUAAUCAGAACAUGGAAUGUAUGAAGUAUGAAUCUAGGAAAAUCAGAAAUCAUCAGAAAUGAAAGGAAACGCAUAAACAUCUAUAUCCUAGGGAUUAGUGAGCUGAAAUGGACUGCUAUUGGCCAUUUUGAAUCGGACAAUCAUAGUCUACUAUGCUGGGAAUGACAACUUGAAGAGGAAUGGUGUUGUGUUCAUCAUCAAAAAGAACAUUUCAAGAUCUAUCCUGAAGUACAACACUAUCAGUGAUAGGAUAAUAGCCAUACUCCUACAAGGAAUACCAGUUAAUACGACUACUAUUCAAAUUUACACACCAACUGCUAAGGCCAAAGAUGAGAAAAUUGAAGACUUUUACCAACCUCUGCAGUCUAAAAUUGAUUAAACAUGCAAUCAGGAUGCAUUGGUAAUUACUGGUGAUUGGCAUGUGAAAGUUGGAGACAAAGAAGGAGGAUAGGUAGUUGGAAAAUAUAGCCUGGGUGAUAGAAAUGAUGCCAGAGAUCGCAUGAUGGAAUUUUGGGAGACCAACAACUUCUUCAUUACAAAUACCUUUUUUCAACAACAUAAACAGCAACUAUACAUGUGAACCUUGCCAGAUGGAAUACACAGGAGUCAGAUUGACUACACUGUGGAAAGGAUCAUGGAAAAGUUCAAUAUCAUCAGUUAGAAGAGGGCCAGGGCCCAGCUGCGGAACAGACCAUCAAUUGGUCAUAUGCAAGUUCAAGUUGAAACUGAAGAAAAUUAGAACAAGUCCACGAGAGCCAAAGUGUGGCCUUGGGUAUAUCCCACCUGAAUUUAGAGACCAUCUCAAGAAUACAUUUGACGUGUUGACACUAAUGACCGAAAACCAGACACAGUUGUGGAAUGACAUCAAGGACAUCAUACAUGAAGAAAGCAAGAAGUUGUUAAAAAGACAGGAAAGAAAGAAAAGGCCAAAAUGGAUGUCAGAAGAAACUCUGAAACUUAGUCUUGAACAUCAGGUUGCUAAAGCAAAAGGAAGAAAUGAUGAAGUAAAAGAGCUGAACAGAAGAUUUCAAAGGGCACCUUGAGAAGAAAAAGUAUUAUAAUGAAGUGUGCAAAGACCUGUAGAUAGAAAACCAAAAGAGAAGAACGCACUCAUCAUUUUCCAAGCUGAAAGAACUGAAGAAAAAAUUCAAGCCUCAAGUUGCAACAUGGAAGGAUUCUAUGGGCAAAAUAUUAAAUGAUGCAUGAAGGAUGAAGAGAAGAUGGAAGGAAUACACAGAGUCACUGUACCGAAGAGAAUUUGUCGACGCUCACCCAUUUCAGCAGGUAUCACAUGAUCAGGAAUCGAUGGCACUGAAGGAAGAAGUCCAAGCCGCACUGAAGGCGUUGGUGAAAAACAAGUUUCCAGGAAUUGACGAAAUACCAAUUGAGAUGUUUCAACAAAUGGAUGCAGCACUGGAAGUGCUCACUUGUCUAUGCCAAGAAAUUUGGAAGACAGCUACCUGGCCAACUGACUGGAAGAAAUCCAUAUCUAUGCCUAUUCCCAAGAAAGAUGAUCCAACCCAAUGCAGAAAUUAUCGAACUACAUCAUUAAUAUCACACACAAGUAAAAUUUUGCUGAGGAUCAUUCAAAAGUGGUUGCAGCAGUAUAUUGACAGGGAACUGCCAGAAAUUCAAGCCGGAUUUAGAAGAAGACAUGAAACCAGGGAUACCGUUACUGAUGUUAGAUGGAUCCUGGCUGAAAGCAGAAAAUAGCAGAAAGAUGUUUACCUGUGUUUUGUUGACUACGCUAAGGCAUUCGACUGUGUGGAUCAUAACAAAUUAUGGACAACAUUGCAGAGAACGGGAAUUCUGGAACACUUAAUUGUGCUCAUUAGGAAUCUGUACAUGGAUCAAGAGGCAGUCGUUCGAACAGAACAAGGGGAUACUGCAUGGUUUAAAACUAGGAAAGGUGUGUGUCAGGAUUAUAUCCUUUCACCAUACCUAUUCAAUCUGUAUGCUGAGCAAAUAAUCUGAGAAGCUGGACUAUUUGAAGAAGAACGAGGCAUCAGGAUUGGAAGAAGACUCAUUAACAACCUAUGUUAUGCAGAUGACACAACCUCGAAAUUCCUCUGUAUUGUAGAAAGCUUUUCAAAAUUAAAUGCUAGAGGAUAAAACUAAAAAAAAAAAAAAGAAUCUGGCUUAGGAAGCUAGGAGACCUAGGUUUAGGAAGCAAAGAAGAGUCAAAUGUAAACAUGGAGGGGUCUGUGGCAACUGCCCAGAGUAGGCAUUCUCUGCUUUUUGUCUUGAUGUAUCAGGAAAGGAGUUGGGAGUGAGCAAAGACCUGAGGCAGCUCAGAACUGAAUCUCCUAUGGGGGUGCAGUUAGGCUCUAUCUCACAGUCUACUAGUUAGAGUAGAAAUUAAUAUAUUUUUCCAAAUUCUCUUUCAGGAUGGUUGUGCCAGGAGUGUUAAACUGUCCAUGCCUUUUUUUAAAUAUAUAAUUUCAUUUCUCAUUGCUAAUAUGUGUAAUACACGCAUACACAGAUCAAAGCAGAAGCUCACACUCUCCCUGGGUAUGCAUGCACCUAGAAAGAAUUUUUUUGAGUUAUCUCCUUAUGUGGCCAUUAAAGCCAAGAGAAAGUACAAAGUGCAAGGAUCAAGGGGUCUGCAGUAGAACCCCGAAGGGUCCAAGAGCAGAGCAGUAGUCAACAAAGGAGGCUAAGAAGGAAUUCUAAAGAGGGGCAGAGAGAGCUGACAGCAUUAAAGGCAAAGACAAGAAAAUAUUUCAAGGAGAAAUGAGUAGCCCACAGUCUAGAGCUUUCCUGACCAAUUGGACAGUGCAAAUAUAUAACAAUUUGGUUAUUGCAGAAACUUCUGUUGGACAAGGCUGAUCUAAAAAUCAAGCAAGACUGAAGGGUCCAGAGGAACUUGGUGACAUGGAGGUCACUGGUGAUCUUGAUGAGGGCUCUUUCAACGGAGUGGUGAGAGCAAAAAGCCAGAGAAGUUAGUGGAGAUGAGGAAAUGGAGGGAACAAGCUUAGACAGCUUCUUCAAGAAGUUUAACUAUCAUGGAGGAAUCUAGAAGGCAUUAUGCUGAGUGAAAUUAGUCAGUUGCAAAAGGACAAAUAUUGUAUGAGACCACUAUUAUAAGAACUCGAGAAAUAGUUCAAACACAGAAGAAAAUAUUCUUUGAUGGUUACGAGAGUGGGGAGGGAGGGAGGGAGAGAGGUAUUCACUGUUUAGAUAGUAGACAAGGACUACUUUAGGUGAAGGGAAAGACAACAUAAUACAGGAGAGGUCAGCACAACUGGACUUAACCAAAAGUAAAGAAGUUUCCUGAAUAAACUGAACCCUUCAAAUGCCAGUAUAGCAGGGGCGGGGUUUUGGGGACCAUGGUUUCAGGGGACAUCUAGGUCAAUUGGCAUAAUAAAAUCUAUUAAUAAAACAUUCUGCAUCUCACUUUGGAGAGUGGCAUCUGGGAUCUUAAACGCUAGCAAGUGGCCAUCUAAGAUGCAUCAAUUGGUCUCAACCCACCUAGAUCAAAGGAGAAUGAAGAACACCAAAGAUAUAAGGUAAUUAUGAGCCCAAGAGACAGAAAGGGCCAUAUAAACCAGAGACUACAUCAGCCUGAGACCAGAAGAACUAGAUGGUGCCCAGCUAUAUCUGAUGACUGCCCUGACAGGGAACACAACAGAGAACUCCUGAGGGAGCAGGAGAGCAGUGGGAUGCAGACCUCAUAAUUCUUGUAAAAAGACCAGACUUAAUGGUCUGACUGAGACUAGAAGGACCCUGGAGGUCAUGGUCCCCAGACCUUCUGUAAGCCCGAGACAGGAACCAUUCCCAAAGCCAACUCUUCAGACAGGGAUUGGACUGGACUAUGGGAUAGACAAUGAUACUGGUGAGGAGUGAGCUUCUUGGCUCGAGUAGACACAUGAGACUAUGUGGGAAGCUCCUGUUUGCAGGGGAGAUGAGAGGGCAGAGGGGGUCAGAAGCUGAUUGAAUGGACACGAAAAUAGACAGUGGAGGGAAGGAGUGUGCUGUCUCAUUCCGGGGAGAGCAACUAGGAGUAUAUAGUAAAGUGUAUAUAAAUUUUUGUAUGAGACACUGACUUGAUUUGUAAACUUUUACUUAAAGCACAAUAAAAUUUUUUUUUAAGUUAGAAUAUUUCAUAUGGAAAAAAAAAGAAGCUUGACUGUGAAAUGGAAACCAGAUCUGCUGUAAUUGCUGAAAAAAGGAGGCUGAAUGGGAACAUUUUAAGAUGGAAGGAUUCAAUAUCCCUGCUGGAAAUCAGCUCGUCUUCUUCACACAGUGUCGUCGAACGUGGAAAGAGCUUAUUUCUGAGGCAUAAUGACCAGCCUAACAUAUGAAAAGUCGAUGAUAGACAGACAUAACAGCAUAAAUGUAUUGAGGACAAAAAAUAUCUUCUGAAUGCAGCCGUCAGCGAGCCAUUGAAUGUCCUGUAGCAAAGGUAACGGGUCACUUAUUUACCAUGAAGACUGGGACGAGAACUCAAGGAAUCUGAGCGGCGCUAUGCCAAUUGUCUGAGGGAAAGGACGCCUUUCCUUUCCCACUCAAAGAGUUAGCUUUGUUUGCACAUGUUUUAGAUCAAUAACUGGUAAUAGUAAAGGCAGAACAAAAGCUCUAAUAACCAUGAGCCAUCUGCAGUGUGAAUCCACAUUUCCCAAGUUAAACACUACUGUCUUGUGAAUGAAUACAGUGUAUAUGACUUUUUUUUCUAAUUGAAAAAAAUGCCUUGAUCCAUGUACACCAAAAGGGGGCACCAGGGUAUUAAAGAAGUUACAAUGUUUUGGGAGGCUAAAAAUGAAAUUAAGUCAAGUUUGGAGAGGUUCUUAGUAUAAUUAAUAUGUACGUGAUUUGGAAACUUGUUAUUCUAAAAAGUUGCUUGGGUGGUUUCAAGUAUUUUGGUAAGACCAUUUUGAUAUCUGAGUAGAAUUUUCUGUUGGUAUUGGGUGAUUACUUUGAAGUUUGAUAGUAUAAAUGCAAAAAAGUUUCUUAAUUGAUGAAGGAUGAUAUAAAGAUAAAUCACAUCUAAGUCUUCUUAGAAUGCUAUCAAGAUUAGUACCCAUAGUCUUUUUCAUUGACGUUUUGGUCGAUGUUCUUUUCAAGUAGAUAUUUGUCUCUUCUUUGUUGUUGUAUACGACCCUUAAUAAAUGUCAGAAUAUUUGUUUUCAUGUAUGUGUCUAGAUGGAGAAAUUCAGCAUUCUGUAUUGGCUUUGCUGAGAGAAAGAUGCAAAAAUUGGGCUGUGGCAAAUAGUAGCUAAUUUAGAGAUUGGCUACCAUAACCCCCAGAAUUCAGAAGGAAUAAAGAAAGAGAAUGAAACGCAUUUUCUGAGAAGAUUUUCAGAUUGCACAUGUUGCAUAAUGUUAUCUCAUUUUGGUGAUUCUAGUAAAAGGACAGUUAGUGGGGAACACGUCAGGGAGACAAGAGGUUGCCUCCUCUGCUUUAAUGUCACCUAUGAGGUGUGUAAAAACCAGUUCCAUUUCUAAUUUCGUCAGUGAGUGAGUAAGUGCUAUUUGUGUUGUGUUUCCCAUUACCCUGGCCCUGUGCCUCUUUCCCCCACCCCAUAUGUGAAGCAGAGACCUUUAAUGUGUAAUCAAGUCUGAACUGGUUGCUUAGCUAAUAAUUCCUCUUAAAAAUGGAAAUCAGUGGCUGCCUGAUCCUGUUUCUUCUGUGUAUCUGUACCAUUUCCAAAGAUGGCUGCAAUACAAACAAAAUGGGUUGUCUUUUCAUGGAACACAUUUUUUUUUCCUUUUUAGUUUUCGAUAUUUGGUCAUACCCAACUUUUUGAAAAAAGAUCAAAUGAGAAAUUUAGUUGAAAUCAUGUUUUAUAGUUUAAUUUUUACCCAGCCUCAGGUCUUGCCAUUAUUUUAUGCUUUGUGAUGAUUUAUGGAAUCAUCUAUUAUGCAAUGCAAGGUAAUUUACAAGCCGCUAUUACAUCCCUGUAACGUUGAUGAAAUAUGUGACUAAUUAGUAUAUUGUUUAACUGGGAGAAUUAGAUUUAAAAAAAACAAAUGUCUUGCAGGUUUAUUUGAAACCUAGGGACUUUAUUCAACUUCAAUAAUUAUUCAGGUACAAUAAGUUGUUAUGUGUAGGGCUGGAAGAUAGCUGGAACUUUAUUUUAAAAUAUGGUGAUACCAAGAAGUUUUUAUGGCUCUCUUAUUUAUUUGAAAUAAAAAUAGAAUCAGAUUAUUGAAUUUCACAUCUUUUUCUUAUCAACAAUGUCACGAUUAGCAUGUAGUAAAAUGUCCACUUAGAGACA
Molecule: long non-coding RNA, 7828 nt
Organism: Loxodonta africana (African savanna elephant)
Lineage: Eukaryota; Metazoa; Chordata; Mammalia; Proboscidea; Elephantidae
Exons: 3
Source: RefSeq, a predicted model, not a curated record